UUUUUGAGACGGAGUUUCACUCUUGUUACCCAGGCUGGAGUGCAAUGGCGCGAUCUCGGCUCACCGCAACCUCCGCCUCCUGGGUUCAGGCAAUUCUCCUGCCUCAGCCUCCUGAGUAACUGGGAUUACAGGCACGCGCCACCAUGCCCAGCUAAUUUUUUGUAUUUUUAGUAGAGACGGGGUUUCACCAUGUUGACCAGGAUGGUUUCAAUCUCUUGAUCUCAUGAUCGACCAGCCUUGGCCUCCCAAAGUGCUGGGAUUACAGGCUUGAGCCACUGCGCCCGGCAUAAAUUACAUACAUUUUUAAGGGAGCACUUACUAUAUGCCAGGCAUUGUUCUAAGUCCCGUGCACGUCUUAACUCUUUUGUCCUCAUCAAAUGGCACAAAGUGGGUAGUACUGCUAUCUCCAUUUAUAGAUGGUAAAAAUUGGGGCCCACAGAAGUUAAGUACUUGCCCAUGUUAUGCAGCUGAUAAGUAGAAAUCUAGGCUGCUUAAUCCUUCGCUUCUCUGCUGUAGUGGUGCUAGCAUGAGUCCAAAUGUUCAUUCAAACAUCUCUUCCCGGGCAUGCUGGCCCUAGCCAUGACUGGGUUGCCACUGCUGUAACUGGCUUUUGGCUGCAACUCUGAAAUUAUAUCAGGUUCUCAGGUGAGCAUGUUGCUAUUUUAGGUGGUCAAGGACAACAUCGCAGAGUGCUGUUGAUGUUCUCCAUAGGGUGACUCUGAGCGAUUCACCUUUCUCUGGGACACCUUUUUCACUUGCUUUGUAUCUGGGCACUGUGACUCAGUUUCUAAGGUUAUCAACUACGAGUGCUAGAUACCUUUGGUGGUGUCAUUGCCUAUUCAUAGAACAUGCAGUCAGCCCUCCUGGAAAGGGACACAGCAGAACACCGUAAGAGGAGCAGUAUUUGGGGUCACUCCCCAAAUGACCCCAUAGGAACAUGCCAAUUCUAGAGCUUAAGAGGGACCAUGGAGGGAGUGACGAUAAUCAUAAGCCCUUACAAUAUGCCAUCUCUGGUCUAAGCACAUUCUGGGAACUACCUCAUUUAAUCCUCCCCUCAACCAGCUGAUGCAGAUCCUAUUAUUAUCCCCCGUUGGCAGAUGAAGAAAAUGAGGCACAGAGAGGGGACAUGAUUUCCCACAAUCAUAAGGCUCAUAAACAGGAGAUCCAGGAUUCCAACACAGCCAGCAGCUUCAAAGACUGAGCUCAAACAUGGUGCUACAACUGACAGCUGAACCCAUGUCCUUCCCUGUGCUUUAUUUCAGGGAGAUGAGAACUUUCAGCUGUCUUAUUGCCAUAUCACUUUCAGCCUUGAAGGAGCCCUUAGAAACAAAGUGAAAAGAAAACCUGGCCUGAAACAACUGCUGAGUCCCAAUUAGGGAACAAGGUUGGGAGGAAAGAGGGUAGGGGCAGGAUCUGACCAGGUUGUAAUUCAGUAACUGAUGACUAACUGAUCACUGAGAGAAAGAAGCAGGAAUAGCCACAGUCAACAUUCAUGGCAGAAGGAGAAUCCAGGGUCUGUUGCUUGAUCUUCUUGUUCUGGAAACAAGAUUUCAGCCCUGUUCAUCCUUUGGCUCCCACACUGACCCUACUGGACUCUCCUUCUUGCCACCUGUUGCUGCUGGUUGCUCACCCCCAUUUCUAAGACACUGACAGGAAGGGUGUCUCUCAACAGCAUAGGUUUCAUUUUAGCAUCCAAGAAACUGGACAUCACCACUCUGAUUGCUGUUAAUUAUAACAUUACUACUUUCUUUUGGAUGAAGUUUAAAAAGUUAUGCAGAGGUCAGGCACGGCCAGGCGCAGUGGCUCAUGACUGUAAUCCCAGCACUUUGGGAGACAGAGGCGGGUGGAUCACCUGAUGUCAAUACUAGCCUGGGCAACAUGGCAAAACCCUGUCUCUACUAAAAAUACAAAAAAUUAGCUGGGUGUAGUGGCGGGUGCCUGUAAUCCCAGCUACUCGGGAAGCUGAGGCAGGAGAAUCGCUUGAACCUGAGAGGCAGAGGUUGCAGUGAGCUGAGAUCAUGCCACUGCACUCCAGCCUGGGGAAGACAGUGAGACUCCAUGUCAAAAAAAGUUAUGCAAAGAUAUUUGCAAAUAUUGUAUCUGAUAAGGGAUUGCUAUUCAUAAUACAUAAUGCAUGAGGAACUACAACUCAACAACAAAAAAUCUGAUUAAAAAAUGGGCAACGUAUCCUGCACACUUACCCCUGAACUUAAAAUAGAAGAUGGAAAUUUUUAAAAAAGGGUGUGGUGGCAUAUGCCUGUAGUCCCAGCUGCUCGGGAGGCCAAGGUGGGAGGAUCACUUGAGCCCAGGAAUUCAAGGUUGUAGUGAUCUAUGAUCAUGCCAUUGCACUCCACCCUGGGGGACAAAGUAAGACCCCAUCUCUGACAAAAAAAAAUGGGCAAAGAAUUUUAAUAGACAUUUCUUCAAAGAAGAUAUACAAAUGGCCAAAAAGCACAUGAAAAGAUGUUUAACAUCGCUAGUCACCAGGGAAGUGCAAAUCAAAACUGCAAAAUCCAUUAGGAUGAAUGUUAUCAAAAAAUAACAAGUAUUGGCACAGAUGUGGAGAAAGGGAAACCCUGUGCAUUGCUGGUGCAAAUGCCCCCUGCUACAGCCACUGGGGGAAACAGUUUGGCUGUUCUUCAAAAAGGUAAACAGAAUUACCAUAUGCUUCAGCAAUUCCGCUUCUAGAUAUAUAUCCAAAAGCACUGAAAGCAGGUGGCCAGGUACAGUGGUUCAUGCCUGUAAUCCCAGCACUUUGGGAGGCUGAGGUGGAUGGAUCGCCUGAGUCUGGGAGUUCAAGACCAGCCCAACCAACAUGGAGAAACCCCAACUGUACUAAAAAUACAAAAUUAGCCAGACGUGGUGAUGCGUGCCCUUAAUCCCAGCUACUCAGGAGGCUGAGGCAGGAGAAUUCCUUGAACCUGGGAGGCAGAGGUUGUGGUGAGCUGAGAUCACAUCAUUGCACUCCAGCCUGGGAAACAAAAGUGAAACUUCAUCUCAACAGAAAAGAAAGCCAGUAUUCAGAAAUUGUACAUCUGUGUUCAUAGCAACAUUAUUCACAAUAGCCUCAAGAUUAUUGGGAAACAACCCAAAUGUCCAUCAAUAGAUAAAUGGAUUGACCAAGUGUGCUAUACACAUGGAACGGAAUAUUAUUUGGCCCUAAACAUGAAUGAAGUACUGAUACAUGCAACAACAUGGAUGAACGUCAAAAACAUGCUAAAGCAAAAUAAGGCAGCCACAGAAAGACAAGUUUUGCAUGAUUCCACUUGUAUGAGGUACCUAGAAGAGGCACAUUCGUAAAGACAGAAAGUAGAACAGACACCCAGGACCGGAGGGAAAGGAGAAAUGGGAAGUUACGGUUUAAUGGGCAUAGAGUCUGUCAGGGAGAAUGAACACAUUUUGGAAAUGGGCAUAGAGUCUGUCAGGGAAAAUGAACACAUUUUGGAAAUGGAUAGUGGUUGCGCAAAGUUGUGAAUAUACUUAAUGCCAAUGGAUUGUACACUUUAAAACUGAUGAAAAUGAUAAAUUAUGAACAUUUCACUAUAGUUUUAAAAAUCACCAAAAAAUGUCACGUAGAAAGUUAAAAAGUUCUGUGGGGUAAUCUUUUAGCAGUUCAUAAGUCCAUUCACGUUUGCCAUGGCUACCCUACAGAGAGGCACACUAUGUGAACACCACACUUGGCUUUCUGAGCUGGAACUACAAACUACCAUUACUCUACUCCUUGGAGUUUCCCCAAACUGAAUUUGCCCACACAUGGUUGCUAUUGGAACCUACCUGUUGCUACAGUAUCACCGUGCUGUGUUACUAAGGAGUGGGACACGUUCUGACUUUCAAAGCAUUUACACAGUGAAUAAUACCACUUUUGUGCUCCUUGUUAUAAGGCCACAUCUUCAAGUACUUCCGCAUUAAAAAAAAAGUGAGCAAAGGAUUUAUUUGGCUAAAGUUUAAACUUCAAUCAUUAUUUAGUCAGGGACAGAGCCAAUUGUAGUGUUUAAAUGGCAUUAUUAUUUAGACAGGGACAGAGCCAAGUUUACAGAAUUCUGGAAGGCAAGCUUAACCUCAGGGUACCUUAGCAGUGUUCUAUGUGGCUGAUCCUGAGGAUUUAAUUCAGAGCAAAAUGGUCAUCCAUUUAUAACAACCCAGGUUUUCUCUGUAAACUGGAAAUAUAAAGGUGGAUAAGGCAUAAGUCCUACUGUCUGUCAUGAGGCUGAAAGUCGAAUAGAGUAGAAAUAAUGUGAAUAGGGUACAGUAAGUUUGAAUCAGCACAUGUUCAAAGUGCGUUGGGCUCAGGGUCAGGGGCAAGGUCGCAGAGAUGAAAUGGCAUUUGAGUCACAUCCUGAAGGAAGAAUGGAGAUUUCCUGGAUGUCAAAACACAAAAUGGACUUUAUGUAGAAGGAACUGCAUAUGCAAAGCCUCAAAGCAUGGCAGGAUGGGACACGCAGAAAACCACGAGCAGCUGCGUGUGGGUGGAGCAAAGGCAAGUAGGAGAGUGGCAGACCCUGAAAGGUCUUAGAAAGAACUGAGAUUUUGUCUCAGCUCAAUGGGCAACUGCUGAAGGGUUUUAAGUGUGCAAGGGACCUGGAGGGGCAUGAUCAGGUUUCCAUUUUGAGAAAGAAAUUUAAAGUCUGGUGGAUGGAUUUGAAGCUUGGGACAAGGAGACCAGUUGGAAGAUUGUCAGAGCAAUCCAGGUGAGAGGUGAAGAAAGCCCAGAUUCAAGAUUCAAGAGCUAUUUCAGAGGCAGCAGAGACAAGAAUUCUAACUAUUUUACUAGAUUGAAGUUCAAAAUGAGAUCACUGUUCUUUCACCUUGGAAUUAUAGCAAGGUGAAGCUCAGAGAGCUGAAGGGCAGGUGGUUCCCCCUGUACCCACUUCUUGUGGCCAAGCCGCAGGAGCCUCAGCCUUGUCAUACGAAUGGGGCCUGUGGCUGCUUUCUCUCUCUCCUUCCUCUUCUCUAGGGCACCUUACUCAGCCUUCCUAAACCAUUUGAAAACUUGGCCUUUUAAUUUACUGCCAUUUUAUUUUUAUUUUAUUUUUUGUCUCAGUUUUAUGAAUACUUCAAAAACCAGGAAAGUAUAAGAUAGUAAAGAAUGUUCCUCUCACCCACUCUGCACCCACCCAUUUCCCACCCCAACCUGCAAAACGUAACCACUGGCUGGGCCUGGUGGCUCACACCUGUAAUCCUAGCAUCUUGAGAGGCAAGAUGAGCAGAUCACUUUAGCCCAGGAAUUCAAGACCAGCCUGGGUAACAUGUGGAAACUCCAUCUCUACAAAAAUACCCAAAUUAGCUGGACAUGGUGGUACAUGCCUGUAGUCCCAGAUACUUGGGAGACUGAGGUGGGCAGAUCUGUUACUAGUUUCUUUGUUCUUUUUCUUUUUCUUUUCUUUUCUUCUUCUUUUUUUUUUUUUUUUGAGAUGGAGUCUUGCUCUAUCGCCCAGGCUGGAGUGCAGUGUGCCAUCUUGGCUCACUGCAGCCUCCUCCUCUCGGGUUCAAGCAAUUCUCUGCCUCAGUCUCCCGAGUAACUGGGAUUACAGCUACCAUGCCAGACUAAUUUGUGUAUUUUAAAAAGUAGAGACGAGGUUUCACCGUCUUGACCAGGCUGGUCUUGCACUCCUAACCCUGUGAUCCACCUACCUCGGCCUCCCAAAGUGCUGGGAUUAUAGGUGUAAGCCACUGCACCCAACUGUUACUAGUUUCUUAUGUAUUCUUCCAGGGAUUUGUGUAAGCCUAUCGUCAAGCAAAUGUGAUUUUAUGUUCUUCUUUUCCCCCUUUUAUUUCUAUUCCUUCUUGGGAGCAUGGGUCCUGCUUAAGAUAAGUUUAGGGAGCCCCAAUGGAAUUCUUUCAGACCUAAGGAGUCAGUCCUGGUUACUAUUGUCCAUUACUGAGCCCUUUUCCUCUGCAAUACCUUGCAAUAUAAGGGCCCCAAACAAAAAGCCUUUCAGUGGGGCAAGGCCUGAUUGCCUCAGGAGGCCCCACAAUGCCAAGGCCCCCAUCUACUCCUGGACCUACUGAAGUAACUGAGGCACCCAUGCUGGCUUGCACCAGGCAGUGUGGGUGAGACCCCUGAACGCAGUGAAAAUGCAGGCAUCACUGAGGAUAGAGUGCCUGUGCUGUGCUAGUAUGGGACUCCACAGCCAAGAGGGCCUACAUUCUCAGGGAUGAUUCUUCCAUUACAUUGAGCCACUUUCCUCAGGUGCAGCCAUGGGGGAAGAGGGCUGGGCAUAAGGGACCAGCUGCAUGCUGCUCCUGGAGUUCGCUCUCCAGGACAGUCCUCAACCUUGGGCCUCUUCAGAAGCAUUGCUCUUCUUUCUUGCCAGCCGGUCUCAGCCCAACCCACCCAAGUCUGCACCCUCUGAGUACAGCAGAUAUUACAUUACUUUGAAAUAAAAGGAGAGACUCUAGGUCUCACUGCUUCCUUCCAGAAGCUUCUUUUGUCUCUUGCAAACAUAGGUGGCUUUGGGAGGAGUGGCAGCACACUUCAUAUACCAACAGCAUCUUAGCCCAGAGGUCUUGGGGACACAGAUAGGGUCUUCAUCUCACAUGAUCGGGGCUGAGCUCUUUUUGGUGAGUAAAGUGGAUUGAAUAAAGGAGGAGGGCUGAAAGGAAUUUGAGACUAGUCUGGGCAACAAAGCAAGACCCCAUCUCUACAAAAAAUAUAAUAAGGUUGGGUUUGACCAGGAAUUUGAGACUUGCCCAGGCAACAUGGCAAAACCCCAUCUCUACAAAAAUACAAAAAUUAGCCAGGCCUGGUGGUGCAUGCCUGUAGUCCCAGCUACUCAGGAGACUGAGGUGGGAGGAUCACCUGUGCCUGGGAGGUCCAGGUUGCAGUGAGCUGUGAUUGCACCACUGCAUUCCAGCCUGGGUGACAGAGUGAGACCCUGUCUCAAAAAAUUAAAAUAAAAUAAAAUAAUAAAAGAAAAAAAAACAGAGACCCAUAGAGAUCAAGUAACUUACUUUUAAUCACUGUUACUUUUAAGGAAAUCAAUUUGACUACUAAGGCAUAAUGUCACAAUGGCUUAGGCAAGAUAGAAAGAGUUUGUCUCUCAUGGUAGUCUCAUCAUGAGUAGUCCAGGGCUGAUAAGACAGCUGAGUCUUGUUGGGGACCCAGGUUCCUUCUUUCUUGUUGCUCCAAUACCCUAGUCCACCUUGUUAAAGGUGGAGCAAUGCCACCUCUGCAUUCCAGUGGGAGGAAUGAGAGGAAGUAGAAGACACACCCUUCCCCUUUAAGGGCAUAACCGUGAAGUUGGGCUCAUAUUUCACUGGCCAGAACAUGGUCCCAUGGCCAUACCCAGUUGCAAAAGAAUCUGGGAAAUGUAGUCUGACCAGAAGGCCACUCAUACAGCUAAACUUCAGGGAAGAGAGGGAGAAUGGAUACUGGAAAACAAAUAGGAAUCUCUGUCACAGUCAGAAGUAGAACUGGGAUUCAAACCCAACACUUUGACUUCAAAGCCAGAACGCUCUUUUUUUUAGGGGCCUUUAUCUCCCCAGAAGGCAGAACUCUUAACCAUAAUCUUCAUUAUGCUGUUUUCUAGAAGAAUUAAAUGAAGUCCACAGUUGGUAAGGUCUUUCUCUACAGUUUGAUACUUCUUUUAAUAAUCUACUUUGAGCACAUGAACACAUGUAUGCACAUACAUUUUUACUAAAGGGAUAGAUUGUAGCUGCCCUUGCCACAAUAUUACAACUCUUACUGUGAAAGUUGCUCGAUAUUGAUGGGGAAUCAAGUAAUGUUUCCUUUUUUUUUUUUUUUUUUUUUUGCCUUAUGACAGGGUUUUACUCUGUCACCUAGGCUGGAAUGCACUGGUACAAUCCUGGCUCAUUGCAGUCUUGACCUGCUGGACUCAAGAGAUGCUCCCACCCCACCCUUCUGAGUAGCUGGGACUACAGGUGUAGUCAAAAAAUAGAAAUCAAUUUAAAAAAAUUGAUUUGUAGAGGUGGGGGUCUCUUACUAUGUUACCCAGGCUGGUCUCAAACUCCUGGGCUCAAGUGAUCCUCCUGCUUUCCUUCCCAAACUGCUAGGAUUACAGACAUAAGCCACUGCCUUUCAUUCUCUCCUUCUAGACUUUCAAUUUUUAGUAUUUUUUUGUGUGUAUGCCUUUCUUUUUCUUCUCUUUAUUCUUCUCUCCUUCCUCCUCAUGCCUCAUGCUUUAUGAUGCUUGGUAUAUUAUGCUAUCAUCAGUUUUAUGAUUUUUUUUCUGCAUCAGAUUAUAGAGUUGGGCUUGGAAAUAACUCCCCAUCAAUGAAACUUUCUCUUCUUUCAUUAGCAAGUGGGGCAAACCAGGGUAACAUUUUGUUCUUUUUCUUUCUUUCUUUUUUUUGUUUGAGACAUAGUCUCUCCCUGUCACCCAGUCUGGAGUGCAGUGAUGUGAUCUCAGCUGGCUGCAACCUCUGCCUUCUGGGUUCAAGUGAUUCUCCUGCCUCAGCUUCUCGAAUAGCUGGGAUUACAGGCAUGCACCGCCAUGCCCAGCUAAUUUUUGUAUCUUUAGUAAGACAGGGUUUCACCACGUUGGCCAAGCUGCUCUUGAACUCCUGACCUCAUGAACCACCUGCCUCAUCCCCUACAAAGUGCUGGGAUUACAGGUGUGAGCCACCAUGCCUGGCCAGGGUAACCUUUAAGAAUACUUAGAAGCCCAGAAAUAAACCCAAACAUAUGGUCAAUUAAUUUUUGACAAAGGCAACAAGAAGACACCUGGGAAAACAACAGUGUCUUUUAAUAAAUGGUAUGAGAAAACUGGAUUUCCACAGGUAAAAGAAUACAAUUAUGGGCCAGUAAUGGUGGUUCACACCUGUUAUCCCAGCACUUUGGGAGGCCAAGGCAGGCAGAUCAUGAGGUCAGGAGUUAAAGAACAGCCUGACCAACAUGGGGAAACCCUGUUUCUACUAAAAAUACAAAAAUUAGCCAGGUGUAUGUCACUCACCUGUAGUCCCAGCUACUCAGUAGGCUGAGGCAGGAAAAUCACUUGAACCUGGGAGGCGGAGGUUGUGGUGAGCCAAGAUCAUGCCACUGCACUCUAGGCUGGGCAACAAAGCUAGACUCUGUCAAAAAAAAAAAAAAAAAAAGAAUAAAAUUAGAUCCUUAUCUUAUACCACAUGCAAAAAUCAACUCAAAAUGCAUAGAAGACCUAAGCAUAAGACCAGAAACAAUAAAAGUCCUAGAAAAAAACACAGGGGAAAAGCUCCUUGACAUUGGCCUUGGCAAUGAUUUUUCUGGCAUAUCAUACCAAAAGCUCAGGCUACAAAAGUAAAAAUAAGUGGGACUACAUCACACUAAAAAGCUUCUGCACAGCAAAGGAAACAAUCCCCACAACGAAAAGGCAACCUACAGACUGGGAAAUAAAUAUUUACAAACCAUAUAUCUGUUAAGUGCUUGCUAUACAAAACUUACAAAGAACUCAUAUAACUCAAUAACAAGAAAACAUAUAACCCAAUUUAAAAAAUGGUCAAAGGACCUGAAUAGAUAUUUCUUCAAAGAAGACAUAAAAAUGGCCAACAGGUAUACAAAAAGAUUCUUAACAUCAAAACCCCUAUCAAAUGUCACCUCACACCCAUGGAUAGCUAAGGAUAUGUGUUGGCCAGGGUGUGGAGACAAGGGAACCUUAUGAUAUUGGUGUGAAUGUAGGUUGGUGUAGCCAUUGUGGGAAACAAUAUGGAGGUUCCCAAGGAAAUUAAGAAUAGAACCACUGUAGGAUCCAACAAUCCCUGAGUUUAUACCCAAAGGAAAUGAAAUCACCACCUUGUAAAGAUAUCUGCGCUCCUAUGUUCUUUGUGAUGUUAUUCAAAAUAGCCAAGAUAUGGAAGCUAACUAGGUGCCCACUAGUGGAUGAAUGGAUUAACAAACUGUGGUGCAUAUAUACAAUGAAAUGUGAUUCAACCUCAGAAACGGAGGAGAUUCUGCCACUUGCCACAACAUGGAUGAAACUAGAGGCCAUUAAGCUAAGUGAAGUUAGUCAGACAUAUAAAGAAAAAUAUUAUGAAGUCUCACUUAUAUGUGGACUUUAAAGAAAAAAGUCAAACUACAGUAAAAGAGAAUAAAACAGUGGUUACCAGGGACAGGUAGAGGGGCAAAGAGGGGAGCUGCAGGUCAAAGAAUACAAGCAGCAGACAAGUAGGAUGAGUGAGUCUGGAGAUCCGAUGUGCAGCAUGAGUUCACAAUAGUGCAUGGCAUUUGGGAUUUUUGCUAAAUGGUUAUAUUAUAGCUGCUCUUGCUACCAAAAGGGGGGUAACUGUGUGAUGAUGGAUAUGUUUAUUUGCCUCACUAUAGUUACCAUUUUACUGCUUAGAUGCAUCUCAUAACAUCAUGCUGUGUACCUUAAAUAUACAAAAUAACAUUUGUUUCUUUUAUUUUUUUAAAAGAAUACAUAGAAAAUAGGAGAACAUUUAAAAUUAGCAUACAUCAAACAUCGUGAUUUUGCCACAAAUUGAUUAUUUUCAUUAAAAGACAAUUUAAUGUCAUUUGUUCCCACAUGUUGUAUUUUAGGGCUGACAUAGUAGAAUGCUAUCAAAAUUGGGAAGUUUCAUGAUUCAUGCAUGUACAACUGCACUCAGGUACCUCUCUCUUCUCUCACCUCUAUAAGGGCAGUUUUGUUUGAACCUCUCAAGACUGCAGACAUGUUCUACAAAAGCAGUUUGAAAGUUUCGCUCUUUUUGCCCAGAUUGGAGUGCAAUGGUUGAUCUCGGCUCACUGCAACCUCCACCUCCCAUGUUCAAGUGAUUCUCCUGCCUCAGCCUCCCUAAUUCCUUUGAGAAUGAAUGAAUCCUCUCCUCAUACACACUAUUUUGUAUAGAAUUUAAGGGAUUCACAUUAUCGCCUGAAACUGGAUUCCAAGGGCAAUGGGUGCCUUCUUCCCUACAUUUCUACAAUGUAAAGAGGCCAUCCUGGUGAUUCUUCUCCAAAGACUUCCUCCAAGGCUGGAGUACAGUCGUACAAUCUCAGCUCACUUUAACCUCUGCCUGCCAGGCUCAAGCAAUUCUCAUGCCUCAGCCUCCCGAGUAGCUGGGAUUACAGGCGCUUCCCUAGCGUUCUACAUUGUCUCCUUUAAUCCUCAAGGCCACCCUUUCAGAUAUAUCGGACCUUUGACAAUGGCAGCUGCUGGAUCAGUCUUGGUGAGUGUUGGAAGUAUAGUUAGACCUCACUUUGCAUGGUCCCAAUUUGCACAAACCUUUGACUGUUUAGUUAAAUCACACCAGAACCCCAACAACAUGGUUCAAAUUUCAGUUACAACAAUGUUAUUAACUGUGCACAAUUACACCAAGUACAACCUCACUGUCAGCUCUUCAGCCCACAGACCACUAUGCGAAUAACAGAUGCAUAUCACGAUCGGUAACCAGUCACACCACUCCUUUCAAAGUCCACUGAUGAUUGGCCACUGCACAUAUGUUCAGUUCAUACACAGAAGGCAAAGCGUGUAGUUGGGUUGCUGGUUUCCCUAUGAAUGAGGCCACAUCUUGGUUUACAGUAAUAGCUACUCAAAAGAGGAAAUUGGCCAACCAAGAUGAAAGUGCAGCAAAAAGUCCAAAAAGUGAUAACACUGGAAGUGAACUUGAAUCAGUUACAGAAAACAGUUCACUGUGAGAAUGUGGAUGCUGCAUCAUUCAAGAGACCCUAGAUAUGCAGCCAGAGGAACUUAAAAAGGCAAACUUAAUUGAGGAAGGAAGUGUGGGGAAAAGCAUGCCUUCUCAGAGGAAGUGAAGACCACAUUCACUUCACAUUGGCAGAAACUUCACAUUGAAGCAACUCUUGGAGAUUUUCAUGACACUGAAAUCACAAAGGAUAAAAUGUUGCUAGCAGAUCCAGUCUUAGAAUAAUUCAUCAUGUCUGAGAAAAGAUGCCCUCUCCAUGUCGUAAGUUACACAACAAGAAGGAGGUUUUGGAGAGUCUUUCACAUCCUCCCAUGGCUGGUCCCAUUCCACUGCUGCUAUCCAUCUUCAAGCCUUACCAAGUCCCAGUAGCAUCUGAAUAAACUGGUAAAAAUCAGGGAGUCCUGGAUUAAAUGCUCCAAUAAGGUUUCUGAAUUCCUUGGUACAUUUCCAGGGAGUUUUCUUGGGGUUAGGGAAGUCAUUUACAAUGUCUCUAAGCUCAAUUUUAGACCAUGGAGUAGAGUUGAUUAUGGCAGGCGUGCCUGCCUAAUCAGAGGGUCUCAUUUUGCAAGCAUUUACCCAACUUUCCUUUUUUCAUUGUCUUCAGAGUGAAAGGGUAGCUAGGCAAAAGGUAAGGACAGAUAAAGAGAAGGAACCGUCAGGGUUAAUUCAGUCAAGGUACAGUUCUUUUUUUUUAACAUCCUGAGUUUUUGCUUAAGAUUUUCCUUUGCCUUCUGUAAGAAAUUUUUUAGGGAGGCAAUUUUUUAUUAACUUUAUCUUCUAGGUGUUUCUCUGCACCGAUUACAAAUUACAUCCCAUUGCAUUUCUUUUCUUUUCCAAUGUGCCUCACAAGUGAACGAUUUUAUCUGGGUUAAAACUUCCCCGUAGUGGCCACUUUAAAUCUAAGUUAUCUUUGUAAGAUUAACUCAUUUUUCCAAAAAUGUGCAAGUCCUGGGUCCAUAAUUCUUAUAAAUAAAAUUUGCUGGAGUUCCAGAAGACAGAGUGCCAGACUCCUUUUGAUUCAGAUGAACCCACUGUCAACAGGUACCUAGCCAAGAACUGUAUCUGGAUCCAAUCUGGUUAAUUAUCAAAUUCAGUUUGAUCCUGGGCUCUGUUUGUUCAAAUGAAAGUCUAGAGAGCUCAAAAUAUAAUUCAUGGAGCUCAGUCUGAGAGGAAAUUAACAGCCUCCAGUUACAAACAAGAGAGCCGUGAGCACAGUGGGGUCUGUGGGUACCUCUCCUGGUAGCUCUGUAUUCCUGGGGCUGCCAGAGAAACACCUUUGGAUCCCAUUUCUGGCACCACAUCUGUUAAAAAUAAAAGCUUUAGAUAAAAUAAACAUAAUAGAGUUUAUUUUAAACAAAGAACAAUUCACAAUUUAGGUGGCACUCAGAAUCAAAAGAGAUUGGGAGUUCUUGGCUGCAACAGCAUGAGCUGUGAGCUUUUACAAGGAGGGGAGACAAUGAAAAUGUACCUGAUGGGUUUAGUGUGGGAAGGCCCUGGCCAGAGGUCAGUUGGUGUUAGUUUUGUUUUACUGUUUUACAGUGGGCUCUGUUUACCUAGAAGCUAAAAUACUGGCCUGUCUCUGUUUAAUGCUCUCCUUAUUAUGAUUUUUUAAAAAACAAUUAAUAAGAGUUUACUAAGUAGGCUGGACAUGGUGGCUCGAGCCUGUAAUCCCAGCAAUUUGGGAGGCCGAGGCAGGCGGAUCACUUGAGGUUAGAGUUCGAGACCAGCCUGGCCAACAUAGUGAAAACCCAUCUCUAGUAAAAAUACAAAAAUUAGCAGGGUGUGAUGGUGGGCACCUGUAAUCCCAGCUACUUGGGAGGCUGAGACAGAAGAAUCACUUGAACCUGUGAGACAGAGGUUGCAGUGAGAUCGUCCCACUGCACUCCAGCCUGGGUAACAAGGUGAGAGUCCAUCUCAAAAAAAAAAAAAAAGAGUAUACUAAGUAAAUAUUAGUUUCACUAUGAUUUGUAAUUUCUUUUUUUGUAACUGUCAGAAAGACAGUUUUUAAUAUUUUGACAAAACUUUUUGAAACUUGCAGAACAAUCAUAAUUCUUCCCACUGAUUAUUAAGAUUGUUUUGCACUAUUCACAAUAGUCAAGAUAUGGAAUCAACCUGUAACCGUCAACAAGUGAAUAGAUUUUAAAAAUGUGGUGUAUACACACGAUGGAAUAUUCUACAGCAUUCCAUUGUGAAAGAGAAGGAAAUCCUGUCAUUUGUGACAAACAUGGAUGAACCUAUAGGACACACAAGUGAAGUAAGCCAGGCACAGAAAGAGAAAUUCUUUCAAAUGUGGAAAAAGAAAAUAAAGAAAAAAAAAUUCUGCAUGAUUUCACUUACAUGUGGAAUCUAUAAUAGAGUUAAACUCAUUAAUAGAGACGAAGAGUAGAGUGGUGGUUACCAGAGUCUGGGGAAUGAGAGUUGGAUUGGGGAGAUGUUGGUUAAAGAGUAUAACAUUUUAGUCAGGGCUGAGCACAGUGGCUUACGCCUAUAAUCUCAACACUUUGGGAAGCUGAGGCAGUAGGAAGCUUGAGCCCAGGAGUUCGAGACCAGUCUGGGCAACAUAGGGAGACCCCAUCUCUACAAAAAAUAAAUAAAUAAGUUAGCCAGCAUUGUGGUGCAUUCCUGUGGUCCCAGCUUUUGGCUUGGUGCAAAAGUUCUUGCGAUUUUUGCUAAUGUUUUAAUGGCAAACCUGCAAUAACUUUUGCAUCAACAUAAUACUUGAGAGUCUUAGAUGGGAGGAUCACCUGAGCCCAGGAGCUUGAGGCUGCAGUGAGCCAUGAUUGCACCACUGCACUCCAGUCUGGAUGACAGAGUGAAACUGUCUCAAAAAAUAAAAAAAAUAAAAAAAAUAAAAUUUUAGUGAGGAGGAAAAGGUUCAGGAGAUCUACUAUACAACAUUGUGACUGUAGUCAAUGCCAAUAUAUCGUAUACUUAAAAAUUGCUAAGAUAGUAGAUUUUAAAUAUUUUCACCACAAAAAAAGUGAGAUAGUAGGUGUGUGAGCUUGAUUUAGACAUUCCCCAAGGUAUGCACAUAUCAAAUCAUCAUGUUGUGUUCCAUAGAUCAGGGGUCCCCAAGUGCCAGGCCAUGGACCGGUGCCAGUCCGAGGCCUGUUCGGAACCAGGCUGCACAGCAGGAGGUGAGCAGCGGGCAAGAAAACAAAGCUUCAUCUGUGCUUACAGCCGCUCCCCUCGCUCACAUUACCGCCUGAGUUCUGCCCCUGUCGAUCAACAGCAGCAUUAGAUCCUUACGGGAGCACAAACCCUAUCGUGAACUGUGCAUGCGAGGGAUCUAGGCUGUACGCUCCUUAUGAGAAUCUAAUGCCUGAUGAUCUGACACUAUCUCCCAUUACCCCGAGAUGGCACUGUCUAGUGCAGAAAAUCAAGUUCAGGGCUCCUGCUGAUUCUACAUUAUGGUGAGUUGUAUAAGUAUUUCAUUACAUAUCACAAUGUAAUAUUAAUAGAAAUAAAGUGUGCCAUAAAUGUAACGCACUUGAAUCAUCCCGAAACCAUCCCCUCUCUGGUCCAUGGAAAAUCAUCUUCCAUGAAACCAGUCCCUGGUACCAAAAAGGUUGGGGACCACUGCCAUAGAUAAAUCUAAUUUUUAUUUGUCCAUUAAAAAUAAAUUUUUAAGGCCAGACACAGUGGCUUAUGCCUGUAAUCCUAGCACUCUGGGAGGCCAAGGCAGGUGGAUCACAAGGUCAGGAGUUUGAAACAGACUGGCCAACACAGUGAAACCCCAUUUCUACUAAAAAUACAAAAAAAUUAGCUGGGUGUGGUGGCAGGUGCCUGUAAUCCCAGCUACUUGGGAGGCUGAAGCAGGAGAAUUGCUUGAACCUGGAAGGUGGAGGUUGCAGUGAACCAAGAUCAUGCCAUUGCAGUUCAACUUGGGCGACAGAGUAAGUCUCCAUCUCAAAUAAAAAUAAAAAUAAAAAAACUUAAAAAAAUUUGCAUUAAAAAAGUUUUUUGCAUGAUUUUAGGUUGCACAGUCAUUUUUACCAUCCCACACUACUAUGCAAGUGAAGACUGCUUUUUUUUUUUUUUUUUUUUGAGACUGAAGCUUGCUCUGUCACCCAGGCUGAAGGGCAGUGGCUCUAUCUCAGCUCACCACAACUUCCACCUCCCAGGUUCAAGUGAUUCUCCUGCCUUAGCCUCCUGAGUAGCUGGGACUACAGGCGUGUGCCACCAUGCCUGACUAAUUUUUGUAUUAUUAGUUGAGAUGGGAUUUCACUAUUUUGGCCAGGCUGGUCUUGAACUCCUGACCUUGUGAUCCGCCCACCUCAGCCUCCCAGAGUGCUGAGAUUACAGGUGUGAGCCACCACGCCCAGCCAAGGACUGCUUUUACAUGCUCUUGGAAGUAUUUGCUGCCUCCAUUUCUGUCACUGUGGUGAGUCCACUUAUGCCUUCACCAUGCCAGUCCUAAGGCAGCCGAUGGCUUAGGAAGGUCAGAGACUGAGAUAUUAAAAUCCUUGGGGAUAUCUACCAACAUGUCUCCAUUCCAUCUGUUAGGGUUUUUCUAACCUGGGCCCCGACCUGCCUAUAUUUUUUUGAAGUUCAGCCACUGGACUAUUAACCCUACACUUUUUCUGUGCUGCCAUCGUGGGGCUGAAGGAGCUUUGCAUGCAUCCACCAAGUCUGGCCUUCACACCUGAAUUUCACACCUGGCUUUCACCCUUAGCUGCUCCAUCUUUCUGUGAAGCAUCAGUGUCACUUAGCAAUAUCCAUCCAAUCCCAUUAUCCUUAUGUCCACCUUUCCCUUCAAAGUCUCAGAUGCCUGAUACAUUUAUUCUACCUGCUAGUGCAUUAAGUUCCAAGUCGUUAUGAUGAAAAAUUUAACAACUGAAUGGCCACUGUGUCAAUGGUGCCUGAGCUCUACCUGCCAUCAGUGACGGGGUCCUCACAGCCAACCCAGUGGUGUGUGAUCCACUUCCAAAAUCAUCUUAUUGCCUGUUUUCUUGGACCACUCUUGAUAUCAACUGUUUCAGGUUAGAGUCACUGGAAAUUCGGGUUAUAUUUAUUAGAGAUCAAUACCUAUAAAAAAUGUGAAAGGAAGCAGGAUUGUGCUGAAAAAGAUAAACAGAGAAGAUGACCACGAUGUCAGCCCCGCAAAGCCUUUGGCCGACCCAGCAGAAAAGUCUGGAGCGGGUAUAGCUUUUCAGAUCCUCCCCAGUUAGGUCAAAAUGGCUAUGCCUUUACACUGGCACUUCCCUCAGUCGUGGGCUUUGGGCUGUCCUGGAUGUGACCUCAGAUGAAGUGGCUCACACAGCUGGGGCUGACCUUGACAGAGCUGACAGCUGAAAGCUGUUUGCUGACCACACUCACACAGAUGAGCAGCAUGCCCCUGCUUGAAGGACUUGGAUGACACAACUUUAUGUCUACCAUAUUUUGGGGGUCACAUUCCUCACACCCAGCUCUGCCUCAAAUAGAGACAUUGACAAAAAUUCAUUCUAGUUGCAAACCAACUGUAGAAUAAUAUAAAACCGCAGUAUAAGUCUAGCAGCAUAAAUCUCAUCCUAAGUGGAAAAGAAAGGGUCAUUUAUUCACGUAUUUUUGAAAAUAAAGCUUUUCCUAUGUCUUUAUUAUAACAUGGAUACCCACAAAGAAUAGUCAUGUAUAUUUUCCUCUUUUGAAUCUUCUAGAAAAAAGUGCUGAGCUUGGUGGAUCACUUCUGUAAUCCUAGCACUUUGGGAGGCUAAGGCCAGUAGAUUGCCUGAGCUCAGGAGUUCGAGACCAGACAGGGCAACAUGGCAAGACCCUGUCUCUACUAAAAAUACAAAAAAAAAAAAAAGUAGCCAGGCAUGAUGAUGUGCACCUGUAAUCCCAGCUACUCAGGAGGCUGAGGCAGGGGAAUUACUUGAACCUGGGAGGCAGAGGUUGCAGUGAGCCAAGAUCACACUACUGCACUCCAGCCUGAGUGACAGAGUGAAACUCUGUCUCAAAAAAAAAAAAGUUUAAUUAAAAAAAAAAAAACGGAAUGAUUUUUCCUUUCCAGUAUCACUGGAAAAGCAGAGUCAUCUAGUAAACUCUCUUAGUAACAUGCAAUUAAACUGAACAAAAUUAAACACAUCUCACAUGACUGUCAUAGGUUCCCUCUGCAGAGCUGAAUCAUAUCUACAAAAGCAAACUCCCCUAGGAGAAUAAUAGAAACUUGAAAAAUGAGAGGAAGGCUCAUGGUUAGAGACCCAGCAGGAGAGGAGCUCGGAGGUUAACCACGGCCUGAAUUCCGAACAUGCUGAAAUAAUAAAAUGUUUUCGGUCCACCAAGUGUUUACUUAGUGUCUUCAGCAUUGCCUCUGAGGCUCCAGUGGUCCUGAGGGAAGGCUGAAGACCACAGGACUAAAUGCCUCCCCCAGCAUGUUGCUCAUUUCUGGCAAAACUGGGGCCAGAACCCAGCCCUCCUGACACAGGAUGGUGCUUGUUUCUCCCUUCAGGUUUCUCUUCAGCGCUGAAUGGUGUGUGUGGUAUACUUCAGGCUAUAAAACAAAGCAAGAUGUCCGGCGGCUGGCUUCGUUGGGAACUAUGGCUAAACGUCAUCCUGAUUUGAUCUUUUGCCACAAGCAGUCUGGUGUUGCCAUUGCAAGACUGUGUGAAAAAUGUGAUGGCAAGUGUGUGAUUUGUGACUCCUCUGUGUGUCCCUGCACUCUGGUAUGCAUAUGUGAUGAGUGUAACUAUGGAUCUUACCAGGGGCGCUGUGUGAUCUGUGGAGGCCCUGGGGUCUCUGGUGCCUAUUAUUGUAAGGAGUGUACCAUCCAGUAGAAGGAUAGAGAUGGCUGCAGAAAGAUUGUUAGUUUGGGGAGCUCUAAGACAGAUCUCUUCUGUGAAUGCAAAAAAUAUGGCUUCAAGAAGAGGUGAUUGGUCAGUGGCCCCUUCUUUCCCUCCACAUCAAGCUGCUGCAGCUACCAGAAAAGAUGCCUACUACUAUCAGCAGAAAGGGAGCAGAGCACAAUGCAUCACCAGGAGUGUCUGCUAGUGUACUGGCAGCUUGCCACUCUC
Callithrix jacchus (white-tufted-ear marmoset) is the source of this 18563-nucleotide non-coding RNA. The record is from RefSeq and is a predicted model, not a curated record. NCBI's taxonomy places the organism in Eukaryota, Metazoa, Chordata, Mammalia, Primates, Cebidae.